AAGUUUUGUUUAGUAGCCAAGGAUGACUUGCCUAUACUACUUGAAACUUUAAUUAUAUUUCUCAAAAGAAAACUUAAUUGUUGGGGUUACAGGCAAGUCAUCUUUAGCUAACUUAACAUGCUUCU
MicroRNA precursor from Ipomoea nil (Japanese morning glory), 125 nucleotides. The record is from Rfam. Lineage: Eukaryota; Viridiplantae; Streptophyta; Magnoliopsida; Solanales; Convolvulaceae.